ACGCUAGCUACAGGCUUAACACAUGCAAGUCGAGGGGAAACGGCAUUUAGUGCUUGCACCGAAUGGACGUCGACCGGCGCACGGGUGAGUAACGCGUAUCCAACCCUCCCAUAACUAAGGAAUAACCUGCCGAAAGGCAGACUAAUACCUUAUGUAAUCCUUUGAUGGCAUCAGAUUAGGAUAAAAGAUUUAUCGGUUAUGGAUGGGGAUGCGUCUGAUUAGCUUGUUGGCGGGGUAACGGCCCACCAAGGCAACGAUCAGUAGGGGUUCUGAGAGGAAGGUCCCCCACAUUGGAACUGAGACACGGUCCAAACUCCUACGGGAGGCAGCAGUGAGGAAUAUUGGUCAAUGGACGGAAGUCUGAACCAGCCAAGUAGCGUGCAGGAAGACGGCCCUAUGGGUUGUAAACUACUUUUGUAUGGGGAUAAAGUCAAUCACGUGUGAUUGUUUGCAGGUACCAUACGAAUAAGGACCGGCUAAUUCCGUGCCAGCAGCCGCGGUAAUACGGAAGGUUCGGGCGUUAUCCGGAUUUAUUGGGUUUAAAGGGAGCGUAGGCCGGAGAUUAAGUGUGUUGUGAAAUGUAGACGCUCAACGUCUGACUUGCAGCGCAUACUGGUUUCCUUGGGUACGCACAACGUUGGCGGAAUUCGUCGUGUAGCGGUGAAAUGCUUAGAUAUGACGAAGAACUCCGAUUGCGAAGGCAGCUGACGGGAGCGCAACUGACGCUGAAGCUCGAAGGUGCGGGUAUCGAACAGGAUUAGAUACCCUGGUAGUCCGCACAGUAAACGAUGGAUGCCCGCUGUUGGUACCUAGUAUCAGCGGCUAAGCGAAAGCAUUAAGCAUCCCACCUGGGGAGUACGCCGGCAACGGUGAAACUCAAAGGAAUUGACGGGGGCCCGCACAAGCGGAG
RNAcentral lists this ribosomal RNA (910 nucleotides) under uncultured bacterium. RNAcentral's name for it is "bacterial SSU rRNA". It matches the Rfam family "Bacterial small subunit ribosomal RNA", at positions 33 to 934 of the family's 1533-position model. The record is from RNAcentral.